GAGUUUGAUCCUGGCUCAGAAUGAACGCUGGCGGCAGGCCUAACACAUGCAAGUCGAACGGAGUUAUAUUGUAGCUUGCUAUGGUAUAACUUAGUGGCAGACGGGUGAGUAAUGUAUAGGAAUCUACCUAGUAGUACGGAAUAAUUGUUGGAAACGGCAACUAAUACCGUAUACGCCCUACGGGGGAAAAAUUUAUUGCUAUUAGAUGAGCCUAUAUUAGAUUAGUUAGUUGGUGAGGUAAAGGCUUACCAAGACAAUGAUCUAUAGCUGAUCUGAGAGGAUGAUCAGCCACACUGGAACUGAGAUACGGUCCAGACUCCUACGGGAGGCAGCAGUGGGGAAUAUUGGACAAUGGGCGAAAGCCUGAUCCAGCCAUGCCGCAUGAGUGAAGAAGGCCUUCGGGUUGUAAAGCUCUUUUAGUGAGGAAGAUAAUGACGGUACUCACAGAAGAAGUCCUGGCUAACUCCGUGCCAGCAGCCGCGGUAAUACGGAGAGGGCUAGCGUUAUUCGGAAUCAUUGGGCGUAAAGGGCGCGUAGGCGGGUUAGUAAGUUAAAAGUGAAAUCCCAAGGCUCAACCUUGGAACUGCUUUUAAAACUGCUAGUCUAGAGAUUGAAAGAGGAUAGAGGAAUUCCUAGUGUAGAGAUGAAAUUCGUAAAUAUUAGGAGGAACACC
RNAcentral lists this ribosomal RNA (673 nucleotides) under uncultured Hyphomicrobiales bacterium. Its description in RNAcentral is "bacterial SSU rRNA". It matches the Rfam family "Bacterial small subunit ribosomal RNA", at positions 9 to 710 of the family's 1533-position model. Lineage: Bacteria; Pseudomonadati; Pseudomonadota; Alphaproteobacteria; Hyphomicrobiales. The record is from RNAcentral.